UACGUAGGGGGCAAGCGUUGUCCGGAAUUAUUGGGCGUAAAGAGCUCGUAGGCGGUUUGUUGCGUCGGCCGUGAAAACCUGCAGCUUAACUGUGGGCCUGCGGUCGAUACGGGCAGACUUGAGUUCGGUAGGGGAGACUGGAAUUCCUGGUGUAGCGGUGAAAUGCGCAGAUAUCAGGAGGAACACCGGUGGCGAAGGCGGGUCUCUGGGCCGAUACUGACGCUGAGGAGCGAAAGCGUGGGGAGCGAACAGG
Molecule: ribosomal RNA, 253 nt
Filed under: uncultured bacterium
Lineage: Bacteria
Description: partial 16S ribosomal RNA
Rfam family: Bacterial small subunit ribosomal RNA
Source: RNAcentral